This 253-nucleotide ribosomal RNA is filed under the name uncultured bacterium. RNAcentral describes it as "partial 16S ribosomal RNA". It matches the Rfam family "Bacterial small subunit ribosomal RNA", at positions 524 to 776 of the family's 1533-position model. The record is from RNAcentral.
UACGAAUGGGGCAAGCGUUGUUCGGAAUCACUGGGCUUAAAGCGUGCGCAGGCGGUUUUGCAAGUCAGAAGUGAAAGCCCAGGGCUCAACCCUGGAAUUGCUUUUGAAACUGCAAAACUAGAAUAUGGGAGAGGUUAGCAGAAUUCCGAGUGUAGAGGUGAAAUUCGCAGAUAUUCGGAGGAAUACCAGUGGCGAAGGCGGCUAACUGGACCAUUAUUGACGCUCAGGCACGAAAGCGUGGGGAGCAAACAGG